Molecule: long non-coding RNA, 7953 nt
Filed under: Fragaria vesca (wild strawberry)
Lineage: Eukaryota; Viridiplantae; Streptophyta; Magnoliopsida; Rosales; Rosaceae
Description: long non-coding RNA (FVES_LNC000022)
Source: RNAcentral
CUUUCAGCCUCAUGUUUGGUAGCACUGCAUCAAGCAUCUUUCCCCCCACAUUCUCAAAGUAAAUGUCAAUACCAUCAGGAAAAUACCUGCAGGUUAGCCAAAAACAACUUUAAACAAGAUGUAUAUUCCCAAAAUGAGGUACACAUGCGCAGCAUGAGACCAGACACUUUGUUUUCCCCUUGUGUUUCUAGAUUGAAUUCAGACUCUUAUUAAUGCCUGUGGAGGGUUUGUACCUCCAAAUCCAAUAUUGGAAAAACGAACCAGUCUAGUGUCACUGUAAUUAGAAUAAACAAAGAUCCUAGACUAAGUCAAAGCAUUAAGCAUAUUUUGGAUUCCGACUGCUAAGAGAUAUAUUACAUUCUCACCUUCUUAAAGCUGCAUCCAGGUCAGGUUCGUCUUUAUAGUUGAAAGCCUCAUCAAAUCCGAAUUUGUUCUUCAGCAGAUCAACCUGAGAUCCCAUGUUAACACAGUAGAUAAAAGGGUACGAAGUAUUCUGAAUAUCAGGAUAUUCAGAUAUACAAUGAAUACAGGUCAUCAGGUUCACAGUCUAUGUAGUAUAUUACAGUAUUAGAGGCAUAUCAGAUGAGGCGAAAAAACAGUAGAACUGCUUUAGAUUGAGUGCAGCAGCUACAAGAAUAAGACUAAAUUGAUAACACUUCUAUUUGUAUGUAGGUAAUUGAUCACCAUAAUAGUACUUCCCAAUAAUGUCUCCAUCUUUGAAUUCCAAGAAUUUGGUACACAUCACUAUAGACAUACACAUUUAACAUCACUAUAGACAUACACAUUUAACAUAAAAAUAGUCAUACAAUUGAGUCAAAGAUAUGGAAUCCCAACUAAAACAUUCACUGAUCUACGAGUACCAGUAACUAACCUUUUUCUUGCUUCCAGCACUCCCAACAACAUAGCAACCUGUCAACUUUGCAAAUUGGCCAACAAGCUGACCUACUGCUCCAGAUGCGGCUGAAAUGUAGAUAGUCUCUCCUUUCUUAGGAGAGCAAAACUCAAAAAACCCAGCAUAAGCAGUCAAUCCAGCCAUACCUACGUAACAUAUGAAUACGUCAGAUGAGCCCAAACAACCAAUAGACUCCAACAAGAGAUCUCAUGAGGGAACAAUAAACAAUAUGCACAAAAAAAUAUUGACACAAGCUGUCAACUUGUGACUAUAGCAUGAAACUUUUAUGUUCUCUGCUCGUGCAUGAAAAGUAGCUAAUACAAUCAGCUGCACAAAAAACUAUUGCCCCAACUUAACUCAAGGGGUUAGGUGUUGAGAUUGGUGUUCAUUCUCAUGCAACUAGAAACCAUGCAAAAGGUGAUGCAACAAAUAUUGACUUGGUGAAUAGCUAGCUAUGAUAUAUAGCUAUACAAAGCUUUAAAUGAUGUUUGUAGAAAUUGAAGGUGAAGAGUUAGUCUUCAAUGGUGUGCUCCUGCUUUUGUAAUAGGAGGGAAGAAAAAGGCUUUGCCUUUUUCACAUGAAUGGAUGUUGCCUAUAAAUUGGCUGCAUGGAAACCAUUUGAAGCAUGCAAGCAAGUCUGCAUCAAGUAAGCAUCAGACAAGCAAUAGAGAGCUUGUGGGUUGUGCAUGAGAGUGAGAGAGAAAAAAGUGCUACGAGGGAAAUUCUCUUAGGUGAGAUAUAGUGUUCUUGGGUAUUCUAUGAGUGAGGGUGUACAAGGGUUUGGGAUUUGGGUCAUGAGAUUUAACUCAUGUAUCUUGUACUAGUUUUUUUCUCAUAGUGGAAGAGUUAUAUCUUGGGGUGGACGUAGGCAGGAAAUUUGCCGAACCACGUUAAAUCUCGUGUCAACUGUUUUUCAUUCUUGUUUGUUAUUCUACUUUAUUGCAGUGUUGUUGGGUGUGUCUGUUUCUGAAUCUCAACAUUAGGCCCUCAAGAGCUGCAAGGUAACUAAUUGUGGGGUUUGUGGCUAAUCAAAUUAGCACAUUAGACUAAAGACUUGGGAGGUCUAUAAGUAACACAAACCAGUUUGUUAGUUACAAAAAAGUAGAAAGCAAGAGAAGUAGGCAAUACCGAGAAGUCCAGUAUAGUAAGAGAGAGGCACAUCAGUGUGGUGAAUUUUAAACAGAGACUCUGUGGCAGUGAUGACACUAUAUUCUUCCCAGCCAGUAGGACCCCAAACCAAGUCGCCUGGCUUAAACUUUGGAUCCCCAGAUUCCAGGACUUUAGCGACUCCAUAACCAGUUACAGUCUGCAACAUUCCAAAUUUUCUUAAAUUAGCUCUAUAUAUGCAAAUCUCUGAAUAAAGCACACACAUUUUUUGUUAUUCCAAAUUAUCUCAUGCAUUACAAUUUUAUAUCAUUGUCCUUAUAUCACCUGGCCCCCAAACCUGGAAUUAAAAAUCUCUCAUCCACAUGACCCAAAGAAGCGAAUUUACAGAAAAAAUGAUAAAUAAAAGGGAUCUGCUAGAAGACACCUGGCCGGGGUUGAAGGAUUGGACAUAAGAGGGCCUGUCGUGCUUGGUCAUAUGGCCGCGUAAGUAAGGAUCGCAGGACAAGUAUAGGUUCUUGACGACAAGGCCAGUCGACCCUUGUGGAAGCUUGAGUUUGGCUGUGGACGUCCUCAAUUCCAUGUCGGAUUCUUUGGGGAACCCGGUCACAUAGUCUUUGAAUAUCACCUGCUUGUUACUCACUUCCACUCCGUCACUCGCCAUUUUCAGCUUCUCUCUCCUCUCUGUGUCUCUCUACAACCGUAACUGAAGAAGAUGAGGGCGAUACGAGCAAUAUAUGCCAGGAAAUAUAGUAAUCACUGUAAUUUCUUACCUUACUAUGAUGUCACAGCCCAGCUCUCUCUGGAAUUUUCUGUUUAGAAUCAAAACAAAUUUCUUGGACAAUAAAUUUCACAUUUUUGUCACGUUUGGUUUCUUCAAUGCCGCUGACAGCAUUGGCGGAGCCAAUGAAGGACCGGUGAGGGCCUGUGCACAAGGACCGGUGAGGGCCUGUGCGCCUAGAGAAAUAUUGAAUUUCAUUGGUUAAUCUUCUUUGUGCCUCUGGAUAAAUAUUGAAUUUCAUUGGCUAAUCUUCUUUGUGCCCCCACAACAAUUCAUCUUCUUCUACUUCGAUUGGGAUUAUGCCUAGUUUCUCUUCUAUAGUUCUAUUUCUUGUAUUUGGGCUUUAGCUUUUUAGACUGGGUUUUUGGAAUGUGUCUCUUAAUUUCCACAAAAAAGCUAGACUAAGACAAAAGUCAUUAUUAAUUUGAAUUAAUGGGAUAUUUUUAACCUGAAGAAUGAACACUGUGGUCAUGGUAUGUAUGAACGUUAAGUUUUGGUUGGGAGCUGUGUAGAUUAUGUAGACAAAUUCUGGGUUUGCAAACUUCAAUUUUUGUACACACAAGUUACAGAGAGGAUUCAAAGCACCAAGGUGCACUUAAACCAAGAUGAAUAGACCGUUGGAUUACAUUUAUCUUAUUAUUUAAUAUUUAAAUAAAAAGUUAAGUAGAAAUAUCAACGGUUAAGAUUUUCUAAUAAAUACUUGGUUCACUUGUACCUUGGUAUAUGCAAGAAUUUUCGCACAAGUUAGCCACAGGUAAUGCUUAUAGUUGUGCGUAUAUAUAUAUAUAUAUUAGUAUAAUUUAGCGGUAAGAAAUUUUUGUGCCCCCAUUGAUAUAUUUUUCUGGCUCCGUCACUGGUUGACAGUACGACGUCCCUGCUUACGUCAACAGUUCAUUGCUGUCCUCUUGCACUAUGUUGUUACCAUUUCUGGGGUACAAGUUUCAUUUUUUUACUUGUAAAUUGCAAUUCAAUACAAACACAAGGAUGGUUUGGAGGACAGGUUGGUUUGGAGGACAGCAAAGGAUGGAACUCAAUAGUUUUGUGGAAAUACAUGCAUGGAAAACUACAACCUGAUGAUAUUCGACAACCUCGUGGCUACCAUUUGUCUUCAAUCUGCUUCCUCUGUCAUAAUAAUGUUGAGACUGCAGAGCACCUCUUCUUGCAUUGUUAUUUUGCAACUAAUAUCUGGGAAAAUCUUUUGGAUUUGUUUCAGGUUCGGGGUAUUUUCAAUGAUAUUAUUUCUUUCUUUACCUACCCUAUAUGUCAUGUUUAUAGCUCUCAGUUAACUCUGCUAUGGUGGGGAAUGAUUGGUGCUGGUUUUUAUGCUAUUUGACAUGUAAGGAAUGCUCUUCGUUUUCAAGAGUCAAUCAUAUUUUCAGGUUCCUUACUCCAUUCUAUUAAGAUGCAACUUCAUGAGAUUAAUCUUUUGAGUAAGGGCACAAUGAAGAAUACUGUAGACGAGCUUUGCAUUUUGCAUUGCAUUGGUAUUAGGGGCAGGCCAUCUAAAGCGCCAAAAAUUGUUGAAGUUAUGUGGCAUGUUCCCUUUAUUUAUUAAGUCAAGCUCAACACUGAUGGUGCGGCUCGUUGCUCUCCUGGUGUGGCAUUUUUCGAGAUCAUUUGGGUCGGGUUUUAGGUUGUUUUUCAAGAAAUCUUGGUUUUGCUACUGUAUUAGAAGCCGAGCUGCAAGCUGUCAUUCACGCCAUUCAAAUGGCUGCACAAAGAGGUUGGCUUUCUAGUUGGAUUGAAUUGAAAGUGAUUCUACUUUAGUGAUUCAUUUUCUUUCUUCAUUUCAAGUUGAUGUACCUUGGCGUUUCACUACUGAAUGGUUUAACUGUCGAGCUAUUCUUGCUACUAUGACUAUUAAUUAAAGUAUCUCAUAUUUAUCAGGGGGAUAACAGUGUUGCGAACUGCUUAGCUAAUUUUGGUGCGGAUAAUGCGGGAGUUUAUUGGUGGGAUUCAUGUCCAUCUUGUGCAAUUACAGCUUAUUCACGUGAUUUAGCAAGUAUUCCCAACUAUCGUUUUAGUUUGUGAUCUUUUAUUGGUCUUUUAAUUUGUAACUCUUCUUCUUUUUUCCGGAAGGGGUCUUGGUCUAUGUCUUUUUCUUUUUUUUUCUUUUUUUAUGAGGGGAGGAAAUUACAAGGAGAAGCCUCUACAACAACCUAUACUAAAACGAUCAAAAUUAAAGGCAUUAAGUGUGGAGAGCGAGAGCUUGCGAUUCCAGAGAGUUGGAUUUGGGACUGAUGCCCCAAGCUAGCCAUUGCAUUGGUCACAAAAUUUGCUUCCCGAGAGACAUACUUGAAGGUGAUCUCUUCAAACUUGGAAGCCAUCCAGCCAACAUCACUAAAAAGAGUACGGAGUCUCCAAAGAGAAAGGGGGGGGGGACCUGUUGUUAAUAAGGUCAAUAAUAAGCUUAGAAUCACCCUCAACUUGGACACGCCGGAUGUCGUUGCAAAGCGCAUGGAACAGACUGUCUCGAAGAGUACUACAAUAUUCAGCAAUAAGAACAUUGGAGUUACCCACACAACGAGAGCCAGCUAAAAUUGGAUUGCCCUCAUGGUUUCUGAUUACAAACCCAGCAUCAGCCUUCUUGUUGUGGCAGACGGAACCAUCAAAGUUGAGCUUGACAAGAUUACAUGGAGGCGGGAGCCAUUUGAUGGAGGAACUUGCUGGAAUGGCAAAUCCAUUGGAGUUGGUCUUGUGGCCUCUAGUAGUCGGAUUAUGGCUUAUGUAAUCAUUACUAGAAGAAGCAACAACAUGCACAACAACAAAGUUGGGGUUGGGCGUGCAUCCUCUAAAAAUAUAAUUGUUUCAGGCCUCCCAUAAUUUCCAGCAAAGGAGAAUGCAGUUUUCAGCUGUUUCUUUAUCUUUUUCCUUCCUGAACAGGGAAAGAAACCAGUCAUAGAAAGAUGAAUAAUCAAAAGCAUUAGUACCAAUCAUAUUCCAAAUACUCAUAGCAAAAGGGCAGGAGAAGAAGAGGUGGUUUAAAUCCUCCUCCCCAUUGCUACAGAGAGUACAAGAAGAGCUAAUAGUGUUUGAGUAACGAGCUAAUCUAGCCCUUGUUUUCAGCGUCUCUCUAGCCAGGAGCCAAGCAAAAAUUUUUGCUCUGGGAGGGAUAUUCAACUUCCAGAUGGCGGUUUUGGUCUAUGUCCCCCACUCCUUUUCUGUACUCUUUUGUUUCUCUUUUUUCAAUAAAUAACUGAAACCGAGCGUAUGGCUGAGCCUCCCAACUUGGCUGGGAUCCAAACCCUUAAAAAAAAAAUACAAACACAAGGUACAGAAAUCCUUGGAGGCACAGCUUCUUCACCAGAUCAAGAUGACAGUAACUACAAUUUAAGCAGAUCGAACAGGAAACAUGUAGCCAUCUUUCAUGUAUGAAAGGUCCAAAUACUAAACUCUACUUGUGUCCCUCAGACUACAUUUAUUUAUCUUGCCGAAAUGUAAAAUUUGAAGUUUCAGUUUCUCAUGAGUUUCAUUGAGAUAAAUCCAUUGAUGUAGCUAGUCAUUCAUUCUCAGGAAACAACAAGCACCUGCUUUCCUACAUUGCGGCCAGCAAAGAGGCCAAGCAAAGCCGAUGGAGCAUUCUCCAGGCCUUCAACAACAUCUUCAACGUAUGCUUGCCUUCUUUUAUGUAAGGCAGAACGAAUUCGAGAAACUUGCCGUAGAUAGGAAAGUAUUUUGCAACCAGGCAGUUUUAUUUGAUGUCCAAGCAGAUCUUAGCAACUUUGCUUCCAAGCAGAGAAGCCAAGUCCAUUUCGGAUACACUUCAUUCCAGUUAUGGGCUCACGCUUCACCCGACGACGACGUUGGUGCUUACAUCAUCCACCUCUACUUACUUACGAGGCCCAACCCAACCUAACCCUACCCUACCAAACCCAGCCCAGCAUCCCCAGCUGUAUCUGAGGCAUUCACCAGCCAACUUACACAUGCCCAAUAUGCCCCAACAACAAAAACAAAAAGAACUUUGCAGCAGAACACAAGAGUUUGAUUCCAUUGUCUUAUGUUCUAUCAAUCUCCUAGUAUUAGUGGUAUUCUUCAUUUUCUUUUCAGCAACUACUGUGUUGGUUGCAUUAUGCGUUAUUCUUUUGGAAGUUUUUUAAUUGUUUUAAUUUUAUAUGUCUUAAAUCUUCCAUAUAACUAGAUCUACGUCUCUUACAAAAGUCGUUUUAUACCUACAAGAAUGUUGUCAUUUCAAAAACUGGAGGAUGCAUAAGUGCAUUCAUAUCUUCUUCUCAAUAUUAUAUCACACACUGCCUUUCUCUUCAUACUUGAUAAUAGUAUAAAACUAUUGUGAAAAUCAUGCUACAUUUAUUAGGAUGAGACAGCUCUCAGGAUGAGACAGCUCUCCUCAACACAAAAUGCAAUAUCCAAAGCAAGCUAACCAUAUACCUGAUACAAAGUUCAUUACAUACACCAAGGUGCACUGCAGAUGGGCUUAAACAACUUAACAUAAAAACAAAUGUCUCGGACUUCAGAAGUACAGAUGGAGCCGGAUUAGUAAUCACUCCCUGGAAACUACAACAACCUGCUUUCCCACGUUGCGGCCAGCAAAGAGCCCAAUUAGAGCUGCAGGAGCGUUCUCAAGGCCCUCAACUACAUCUUCCACAUAUGUAAUCUUCCCUUCUUUUAUGGCAGGCAACACUGUUUCAAGAAACUUUCCAUACAGAUGAUAGUAACUGAACACCAGGAAACCUUCCAUGCGGACCUGCUUAACAAUCAAAGACAUCAAAUUAUGUAUGCCUUCAGGCUUCUCCAAGUUGUACUGAGAUAUCAUCCCACACACUGCUAUUCGCCCUUUCAGCCUCAUGUUUGGUAGCACUGCAUCAAGCAUCUUUCCCCCCACAUUCUCAAAGUAAAUGUCAAUACCAUCAGGAAAAUACCUGCAGGUUAGCCAAAAACAACUGUAAACAAGAUGUAUAUUCCCAAAAUGAGGUACACAUGCGCAGCAUGAGACCAGACACUUUGUUUUCCCCUUGUGUUUCUAGAUUGAAUUCAGACUCUUAUUAAUGCCUGUGGAGGGUUUGUAUCUCCAAAUCCAAUAUUGGAAAAACUAACCAGUCUAGUGUCACUAUAAUUAGAAUAAACAAAGAUCCUAGACUAAGUCAAAGCAUUAAGCAUAUUUUGGAUUCCGACUGCUAAGAGAUAUAUUACAUUCUCACCUUCUUAAAGCUGCAUCCAG